AUUGAACGCUGGCGGCAGGCCUAACACAUGCAAGUCGAGCGGAUGAAGGGAGCUUGCUCCUGGAUUCAGCGGCGGACGGGUGAGUAAUGCCUAGGAAUCUGCCUGGUAGUUGGGGAUAACGUCCGGAAACGGGCGCUAAUACCGCAUACGUCCUGAGGGAGAAAGUGGGGGAUCUUCGGACCUCACGCUCUCAGAUGAGCCUAGGUCGGAUUAGCUAGUUGGUGGGGUAAAGGCCUACCAAGGCGACGAUCCGUAACUGGUCUGAGAGGAUGAUCAGUCACACUGGAACUGAGACACGGUCCAGACUCCUACGGGAGGCAGCAGUGGGGAAUAUUGGACAAUGGGCGAAAGCCUGAUCCAGCCAUGCCGCGUGUGUGAAGAAGGUCUUCGGAUUGUAAAGCACUUUAAGUUGGGAGGAAGGGCAGUAAGUUAAUACCUUGCUGUUUUGACGUUACCAACAGAAUAAGCACCGGCUAACUUCGUG
This 484-nucleotide ribosomal RNA is filed under the name uncultured bacterium. RNAcentral's name for it is "partial 16S ribosomal RNA". It matches the Rfam family "Bacterial small subunit ribosomal RNA", at positions 30 to 507 of the family's 1533-position model. The record is from RNAcentral.